CGGGGGGGGCAAGCGUUGUUCGGAAUUACUGGGCGUAAAGGGCUCGUAGGUGGCCAACUAAGUCCGACGUGAAAUCCCUAGGCUCAACCUAGGAACUGCGUCGGAUACUGGAUGGCUUGAAUUCGGGAGAGGGAUGCAGAAUUCCAGGUGUAGCGGUGAAAUGCGUAGAUAUCUGGAGGAAUACCGGUGGCGAAGGCGGCAUCCUGGACCGACAUUGACGCUGAGGAGCGAAAGCUAGGGGAGCAAACGGGAUUAGAUACCCCGGUAGUCCUAGCCCUAAACGAUGAAUGCUUGGUGUGACGGGUAUCGAUCCCUGUCGUGCCGAAGCUAACGCAUUAAGCAUUCCGCCUGGGGAGUACGGUCGCAAGGCUG
This 372-nucleotide ribosomal RNA is filed under the name uncultured organism. RNAcentral describes it as "bacterial SSU rRNA". It matches the Rfam family "Bacterial small subunit ribosomal RNA", at positions 526 to 896 of the family's 1533-position model. The record is from RNAcentral.